RNAcentral lists this transfer RNA (74 nucleotides) under Alosa alosa (allis shad). Its description in RNAcentral is "tRNA-OTHER". Lineage: Eukaryota; Metazoa; Chordata; Actinopteri; Clupeiformes; Clupeidae. The record is from RNAcentral.
ACAGCCGUGGCCUACUGGUUAGGGCUUUGGACUGGUAUCCGGAGGGUUUUUGGUUCGAUCCCCAAACAGUAGGA